UGGGGAAUAUUGGACAAUGGGCGAAAGCCUGAUCCAGCCAUGCCGCGUGUGUGAAGAAGGUCUUCGGAUUGUAAAGCACUUUAAGGUGGGAGGAAGGGCAGUAAGCGAAUACCUUGCUGUUUUGACGUUACCGACAGAAUAAGCACCGGCUAACUCUGGGCCAGCAGCCGCGGUAAUACAGAGGGUGCAAGCGUUAACCGGAAUUACUGGGCGUAAAGCGCGCGUAGGUGGUUCGUUAAGUUGAAUGUGAAAGCCCCGGGCUCAACCUGGGAACUGCAUCCAAAACUGGCGAGCUAGAGUAGGGCAGAGGGUGGUGGAAUUUCCUGUGUAGCGGUGAAAUGCGUAGAUAUAGGAAGGAACACCAGUCGCGAAGGCGACCACCUGGGCUCAUACUGACACUGAGGUGCGAAAGCGUGGGGAGCAAACAGG
RNAcentral lists this ribosomal RNA (429 nucleotides) under Pseudomonadota bacterium. RNAcentral's name for it is "Proteobacteria bacterium partial 16S ribosomal RNA". It matches the Rfam family "Bacterial small subunit ribosomal RNA", at positions 355 to 776 of the family's 1533-position model. Lineage: Bacteria; Pseudomonadati; Pseudomonadota. The record is from RNAcentral.